UUCAUCGCUCAUCUCUCGAAAACCAUGCUAAACAAUGUCAAAACAACAAUCUUACAAUAAAAUUACAAAGAUAAAAAAAAAUUAUAUUUAAAAUACAUCACCCUCACUUGUGAAUCAAACAUAUUUGUAAUUAAAAUUCCUCACUUCCUCUUUCAUAUUUUGAACCAAACAUUUAUGUAAAUCAAAUAAUUCUCCUCUCUUCUCCUCCUCUCCCCUCCUUUUGAU
This 225-nucleotide long non-coding RNA is filed under the name Lathyrus oleraceus (garden pea). RNAcentral's name for it is "Pisum sativum (pea) long non-coding RNA (PSAT_LNC015669)". The record is from RNAcentral. Lineage: Eukaryota; Viridiplantae; Streptophyta; Magnoliopsida; Fabales; Fabaceae.